CAGUAGCCACGGGAAUACGGAGGGUGCAAGCGUUAAUCGGAAUUACUGGGCGUAAAGCGCACGCAGGCGGUCUGUCAAGUCAGAUGUGAAAUCCCCGGGCUUAACCUGGGAACUGCAUUUGAAACUGGCAGGCUAGAGUCUUGUAGAGGGGGGUAGAAUUCCAGGUGUAGCGGUGAAAUGCGUAGAGAUCUGGAGGAAUACCGGUGGCGAAGGCGGCCCCCUGGACAAAGACUGACGCUCAGGUGCGAAAGCGUGGGGAGCAAACAGGAUUAGAUACCCCGGUAGUCCCUGUCUCUUAUAC
This 301-nucleotide ribosomal RNA is filed under the name uncultured bacterium. RNAcentral's name for it is "partial 16S ribosomal RNA". It matches the Rfam family "Bacterial small subunit ribosomal RNA", at positions 509 to 807 of the family's 1533-position model. The record is from RNAcentral.